GGGAGGUUGGCGGUGGACGCAACACUCGCCAACCGGGUCAGAUCCGGAAGGAAGCAGCCCCAACGAGACCGCUGCGGGUCUUCGUCCAACCUCCUACC
RNAcentral lists this signal recognition particle RNA (98 nucleotides) under Labrys sp. KNU-23. Its description in RNAcentral is "signal recognition particle sRNA small type". It matches the Rfam family "Bacterial small signal recognition particle RNA". Rfam says of the family: The signal recognition particle (SRP) is a universally conserved ribonucleoprotein involved in the co-translational targeting of proteins to membranes. The record is from RNAcentral. Lineage: Bacteria; Pseudomonadati; Pseudomonadota; Alphaproteobacteria; Hyphomicrobiales; Xanthobacteraceae.